UACACUCCUGCGGGAGGCAGCAGUGGGGAAUAUUGGACAAUGGGCGCAAGCCUGAUCCAGCCAUGCCGCGUGAGUGAUGAAGGCCCUAGGGUUGUAAAGCUCUUUCACCGGAGAAGAUAAUGACGGUAUCCGGAGAAGAAGCCCCGGCUAACUUCGUGCCAGCAGCCGCGGUAAUACGAAGGGGGCUAGCGUUGUUCGGAAUUACUGGGCGUAAAGCGCACGUAGGCGGAUCGAUCAGUCAGGGGUGAAAUCCCAGGGCUCAACCCUGGAACUGCCUUUGAUACUGUCGAUCUGGAGUAUGGAAGAGGUGAGUGGAAUUCCGAGUGUAGAGGUGAAAUUCGUAGAUAUUCGGAGGAACACCAGUGGCGAAGGCGGCUCACUGGUCCAUUACUGACGCUGAGGUGCGAAAGCGUGGGGAGCAAACAGGAUUAGAUACCCGUGUAGCCCCAUG
Molecule: ribosomal RNA, 451 nt
Filed under: uncultured organism
Description: partial 16S ribosomal RNA
Rfam family: Bacterial small subunit ribosomal RNA
Source: RNAcentral